This 475-nucleotide ribosomal RNA is filed under the name unidentified nematode Sourhope farm. RNAcentral's name for it is "SSU rRNA". It matches the Rfam family "Eukaryotic small subunit ribosomal RNA", at positions 58 to 531 of the family's 1831-position model. Lineage: Eukaryota; Metazoa; Nematoda. The record is from RNAcentral.
UCUAAGUAUAAUGCCAAACAGGGAAACUGCGUACGGCUCAUUACACCAGCCUUAAUUUACUUGACCUUGACAACCUACUUGGAUAACUGUGGUAAUUCUAGAGCUAAUACAUGCACCAAAGCUCCGAUCCUCGCGGAGAGGAGCGCAUUUGUUCGCCACAAAACCAAGCGCCCAUCUGGGCGUCCAGUGCUGAACCAGAACAACUCAGCUGAUCGCACGGUCUUGUACCGGCGACGUGUCUUUCAAGUGUCUGCCUUAUCAACUUUCGAUGGUAGUGUACCUGACUACCAUGGUUGUGACGGGUAACGGAGGAUAAGGGUUCGACUCCGGAGAAGGGGCCUGAGAAAUGGCCACUACGUCUAAGGAUGGCAGCAGGCGCGCAAAUUACCCACUCUCAACGCGAGGAGGUAGUGACGAGAAAUAACGAGACCGUUCUCAUACGAGGCCGGUUAUUGGAAUGGGUACAAUUUAAACC